RNAcentral lists this ribosomal RNA (478 nucleotides) under uncultured bacterium. RNAcentral describes it as "bacterial SSU rRNA". It matches the Rfam family "Bacterial small subunit ribosomal RNA", at positions 34 to 507 of the family's 1533-position model. The record is from RNAcentral.
CGCUGGCGGCAUGCUUAACACAUGCAAGUCGAACGGCAGCACGGGCUUCGGCCUGGUGGCGAGUGGCGGACGGGUGAGUAACACGUAGGAAUCUGCCUGGUAAUGGGGGAUAACCCGGGGAAACUCGGGCUAAUACCGCAUACGCUCUACGGAGGAAAGCGGGGGAUCUUCGGACCUCGCGUUAUCAGAUGAGCCUGCGUCCGAUUAGCUAGUUGGCGGGGUAAAGGCCCACCAAGGCAACGAUCGGUAGCUGGUCUGAGAGGACGAUCAGCCACACUGGAACUGAGACACGGUCCAGACUCCUACGGGAGGCAGCAGUGGGGAAUAUUGGACAAUGGGCGCAAGCCUGAUCCAGCAAUGCCGCGUGUGUGAAGAAGGCCUGCGGGUUGUAAAGCACUUUAAGCAGGAAAGAAGGCUUCAGGGUUAAUACCCUUGGGGAUUGACGUUACCUGCAGAAUAAGCACCGGCUAACUCCGUG